AAAAGUGAUACGAACUUCUUUUAAAAAUGUAAACCUCAUCUUCAAAGGGCCAUCAUUGUUUGCCUUUGGCUGUUUUAAGUUGUCUUUUUCAAAAUUUGGAUACAUCCAAUCCCACAUCCUAAGCUAUCGAAGAUUGACAUGGAUAGUAUCAAGUAUAUACUUACAACUUCAACGGACAAGGAGGAUACGAAGCGACAACCUUUCCGGUUUAGUGCUUGAAACAAUUAGAAACUUGCAGUAGGUCGAGUUCUUCUCAAAAUAAAAUGACCACAAUGUGCAAACCAAAAAGUUAGCUGCAAGUUCUCUAUCAUGUUUUCUGCUGCAUCUAUAGACAUGUUGAUACGUUUAAUUUUUUAUUACUUUUAUUUUGUCUAAUAAUGGUUUGAGAUAUCCUAAUAAAAUAGCUGAUGAGGAUUUGUCUAUCUAAGUUAAAUUUGCUUGGAAGUGAGUCAUUGUUUUGUUUUUUACUAUCUUUGUCUAUCUAAAAAUGCUUCUUUUUCUAAAGUUUGUACGAGUCUUUUGAUUAAAUAUGAGAAAAUUGUAAGUUGUGCUCUUUGUCACUAUACAUACAUAUUAUUGCUAAUAACAAUAUUUUAGUGUAACGUUAUUUUUCUCAUUCAUAUA
Molecule: long non-coding RNA, 624 nt
Organism: Lycium ferocissimum
Lineage: Eukaryota; Viridiplantae; Streptophyta; Magnoliopsida; Solanales; Solanaceae
Exons: 2
Source: RefSeq, a predicted model, not a curated record